GAGAGAAAAUGGAGAGACAAUUCUCACCAAUUUUCCCCAAAAAUAAACCCUUAACAACUUUUCCUUAAUGAAUUUUGGCUAUAAAGUCAUUUAUAUAGUCACUUCUUUAAGUAACCUAAACAACCAAAACCCUAAUUCAUCUAAUAUGGCCGGCCAUUUAGGGAUGUUUGGGCUUUAAUGAAUCUUUAUUCAUUAAAUUGUCAUACAAUUUAAGUUAAUG
Molecule: long non-coding RNA, 220 nt
Filed under: Malus domestica (apple)
Lineage: Eukaryota; Viridiplantae; Streptophyta; Magnoliopsida; Rosales; Rosaceae
Description: long non-coding RNA (MDOM_LNC015664)
Source: RNAcentral